RNAcentral lists this ribosomal RNA (746 nucleotides) under uncultured marine archaeon. RNAcentral's name for it is "bacterial SSU rRNA". It matches the Rfam family "Archaeal small subunit ribosomal RNA", at positions 28 to 780 of the family's 1478-position model. The record is from RNAcentral.
UGCUAUCGGAUUGAUACUAAGCCAUGCGAGUCAUUGUAGCAAUACAGGGCAUACGGCUCAGUAACGCGUAGUCAACCUAACCUAUGGACGGGAAUAACCUCGGGAAACUGAGAAUAAUGCCCGAUAGAACAUUAUGCCUGGAAUGGUUUAUGUUCCAAAUGAUUUAUCGCCGUAGGAUGGGACUGCGGCCUAUCAGUUUGUUGGUGAGGUAAUGGCCCACCAAGACUAUUACAGGUACGGGCUCUGAGAGGAGUAGCCCGGAGAUGGGUACUGAGACACGGACCCAGGCCCUAUGGGGCGCAGCAGGCGAGAAAACUUUGCAAUGUGCGAAAGCACGACAAGGUUAAUCCGAGUGGUUUCUGCUAAAGGAACCUUUUGUCAGUCCUAGAAACACUGAUGAAUAAGGGGUGGGCAAGUUCUGGUGUCAGCCGCCGCGGUAAAACCAGCACCUCAAGUGGUCAGGAUGAUUAUUGGGCCUAAAGCAUCCGUAGCCGGCUCUGUAAGUUUUCGGUUAAAUCUGUACGCUCAACGUACAGGCUGCCGGGAAUACUGCAAAGCUAGGGAGUGGGAGAGGUAGACGGUACUCGGUAGGAAGGGGUAAAAUCCUUUGAUCUAUUGAUGACCACCUGUGGCGAAGGCGGUCUACCAGAACACGUCCGACGGUGAGGGAUGAAAGCUGGGGGAGCAAACCGGAUUAGAUACCCGGGUAGUCCCAGCUGUAAACCAUGCAAACUCAGUGAUGCAUU